GAUGAACGCUGGCGGCGUGCUUAACACAUGCAAGUCGAACGAAGCAUUUAGGACAGAUUACUUCGGUUUGAAGUUCUUUAUGACUGAGUGGCGGACGGGUGAGUAACGCGUGGGUAACCUGCCCUGUACUGGGGGAUAGCAGCUGGAAACGGCUGGUAAUACCGCAUAAGCGCACAAUGUUGCAUGACAUGGUGUGAAAAACUCCGGUGGUAUAAGAUGGACCCGCGUCUGAUUAGCUAGUUGGUGAGAUAACAGCCCACCAAGGCGACGAUCAGUAGCCGACCUGAGAGGGUGACCGGCCACAUUGGGACUGAGACACGGCCCAGACUCCUACGGGAGGCAGCAGUGGGGAAUAUUGCACAAUGGAGGAAACUCUGAUGCAGCGACGCCGCGUGAGUGAAGAAGUAAUUCGUUAUGUAAAGCUCUAUCAGCAGGGAAGAUAGUGACGGUACCUGACUAAGAAGCUCCGGCUAAAUACGUG
This 481-nucleotide ribosomal RNA is filed under the name uncultured bacterium. Its description in RNAcentral is "partial 16S ribosomal RNA". It matches the Rfam family "Bacterial small subunit ribosomal RNA", at positions 28 to 507 of the family's 1533-position model. The record is from RNAcentral.